CGACUGACGCUGAGGCACGAAAGCGUGGGUAUCGAACAGGAUUAGAUACCCUGGUAGUCCACGCGGUAAACGAUGAAUACUGGUUAUUCGGCCGUUACAGGUUGAGUGACUCAAGCGAAAGCAUUAAGUAUUCCACCUGGGGAGUACGCCGGCAACGGUGAAACUCAAAGGAAUUGACGGGGGCCCGCACAAGCGGAGGAACAUGUGGUUUAAUUCGAUGAUACGCGAGGAACCUUACCCGGGCUCAAACGCAGAGAGACGUUGGCUGAAAGGCCAAUUUCCUUCGGGACUGUCUGCGAGGUGCUGCAUGGUUGUCGUCAGCUCGUGCCGUGAGGUGUCGGCUUAAGUGCCAUAACGAGCGCAACCCCCAUCUCCAGUUGCCACCGCGUAAAGGCGGGCACUCUGGAGAGACUGCCGGCGCAAGCUGUGAGGAAGGCGGGGAUGACGUCAAAUCAGCACGGCCCUUACGUCCGGGGCGACACACGUGUUACAAUGGCGGGGCACAGAAGGAAGCCAGGCGGCGACGCCGAGCCGAUCCCGAAAACCCGUCUCAGUUCGGAUCGGAGUCUGCAACCCGACUCCGUGAAGCUGGAUUCGCUA
This 600-nucleotide ribosomal RNA is filed under the name uncultured bacterium. Its description in RNAcentral is "bacterial SSU rRNA". It matches the Rfam family "Bacterial small subunit ribosomal RNA", at positions 737 to 1337 of the family's 1533-position model. The record is from RNAcentral.